RNAcentral lists this ribosomal RNA (529 nucleotides) under uncultured bacterium. Its description in RNAcentral is "partial 16S ribosomal RNA". It matches the Rfam family "Bacterial small subunit ribosomal RNA", at positions 355 to 874 of the family's 1533-position model. The record is from RNAcentral.
UGGGGAAUUUUGGACAAUGGGGGCAACCCCUGAUCCAGCCAUCCCGCGUGUGCGAUGAAGGCCUUCGGGUUGUAAAGCACUUUUGGCAGGGAAGAAACAGCCUGGGAUAAUACCCCCGGGGCGACUGACGGUACCUGCAGAAUAAGCACCGGCUAACUACGUGCCAGCAGCCGCGGUAAUACGUAGGGUGCAAGCGUUAAUCGGAAUUACUGGGCGUAAAGCGUGCGCAGGCGGUUCGGAAAGAAAGGUGUGAAAUCCCAGGGCUUAACCUUGGAACUGCACUUUUAACUACCGAGCUAGAGUACGUCAGAGGGGGGUAGAAUUCCACGUGUAGCAGUGAAAUGCGUAGAGAUGUGGAGGAAUACCGAUGGCGAAGGCAGCCCCCUGGGAUGAUACUGACGCUCAUGCACGAAAGCGUGGGGAGCAAACAGGAUUAGAUACCCUGGUAGUCCACGCCCUAAACGAUGUCAACUAGCUGUUGGGGUUUAUUAACCUUAGUAGCGCAGCUAACGCGUGAAGUUGACCGCCU